RNAcentral lists this ribosomal RNA (216 nucleotides) under Glomeromycotina sp. RNAcentral describes it as "partial small subunit ribosomal RNA". The stretch from base 40 to 216 matches the Rfam family "Eukaryotic small subunit ribosomal RNA", at positions 686 to 864 of the family's 1831-position model. The record is from RNAcentral. Lineage: Eukaryota; Fungi; Glomeromycota.
GGGUCAGUAGGUUGGUCGUGCCACCGGUACGUACUGGUCUCACUGAUUCCUCCUUCCUGAAGAACCGUAAGGCCAUUUAUUUGGUGUUGCGGGGAAACAGGACUGUUACUUUGAAAAAAUUAGAGUGUUUAAAGCAAGCUAACGCUUGAAUACAUUAGCAUGGAAUAAUGAAAUAGGACGAUCGAUCCUAUUUUGUUGGUUUCUAGGAUUGACGUA